UUCAUACUCCCUCCGUCCAAAAAUACUUGUCAUCAAAAUAGAUAAAAAAAGAUGUAUCUAGAACUAAAAUGUGUCUAGAUGCAUCCCCUUUUAUCCAUUUUGAUGGCAAGUACUUCCGGACAGAGGGAGUACAUC
Molecule: non-coding RNA, 135 nt
Organism: Triticum aestivum (bread wheat)
Lineage: Eukaryota; Viridiplantae; Streptophyta; Magnoliopsida; Poales; Poaceae
Source: Rfam